AUUGAACGCUGGCGGCAGGCCUAACACAUGCAAGUCGGGCGGAUGAAGGGAGCUUGCUCCUGGAUUCAGCGGCGGACGGGUGAGUAAUGCCUAGGAAUCUGCCUGGUAGUGGGGGAUAACGUCCGGAAACGGGCGCUAAUACCGCAUACGUCCUGAGGGAGAAAGUGGGGGAUCUUCGGACCUCACGCUAUCAGAUGAGCCUAGGUCGGAUUAGCUAGUUGGUGGGGUAAAGGCCUACCAAGGCGACGAUCCGUAACUGGUCUGAGAGAAUGAUCAGUCACCCGGAACUUGGAACAGGUCCCAACCUCUAACGGGAGGCGGAGGUGGGAAUAUUUGAACAUGGGGCAAAGGCUUAAUCCACCCAUGCGGGGUGUGUAAGGAAGGUCUCCGGUUGUUAAACCACUUUAGGUGGGAGGAAGGGCAGUAAAGUUAAAACCUUCCUGUUUUACCGUUCCCACAGAAAAAGCCACCGCCAACCUUCUG
This 483-nucleotide ribosomal RNA is filed under the name uncultured bacterium. Its description in RNAcentral is "partial 16S ribosomal RNA". It matches the Rfam family "Bacterial small subunit ribosomal RNA", at positions 30 to 507 of the family's 1533-position model. The record is from RNAcentral.